This 447-nucleotide ribosomal RNA is filed under the name uncultured bacterium. RNAcentral describes it as "bacterial SSU rRNA". It matches the Rfam family "Bacterial small subunit ribosomal RNA", at positions 29 to 523 of the family's 1533-position model. The record is from RNAcentral.
AACGAACGCUGGCGGCAUGCCUAACACAUGCAAGUCGAACGAGAUCUUCGGAUCUAGUGGCGCACGGGUGCGUAACGCGUGGGAAUCUGCCCUUUGCUUCGGAAUAACAGUUAGAAAUGACUGCUAAUACCGGAUGAUGUCUUCGGACCAAAGAUUUAUCGGCAAAGGAUGAGCCCGCGUAGGAUUAGGUAGUUGGUGGGGUAAAGGCCUACCAAGCCGACGAUCCUUAGCUGGUCUGAGAGGAUGAUCAGCCACACUGGGACUGAGACACGGCCCAGACUCCUACGGGAGGCAGCAGUGGGGAAUAUUGGACAAUGGGCGAAAGCCUGAUCCAGCAAUGCCGCGUGAGUGAUGAAGGCCUUAGGGUUGUAAAGCUCUUUACCCGGGAUGAUAAUGACAGUACCGGAGAAUAAGCUCCGGCUAACUCCGUGCCAGCAGCCGCGGUAA